GACGAACGCUGGCGGCGUGCCUAAUACAUGCAAGUAGAACGCUGAAGGAGGAGCUUGCUUCUCUGGGUGAGUUGCGAACGGGUGAGUAACGCGUAGGUAACCUGCCUGGUAGCGGGGGAUAACUAUUGGAAACGAUAGCUAAUACCGCAUAAGAGUAGAUGUUGCAUGACAUUUACUUAAAAGGUGCAAUUGCACCACUACCAGAUGGACCUGCGUUGUAUUAGCUAGUUGGUGGGGUAACGGCUUACCAAGGCGACGAUACAUAGCCGACCUGGGAGGGUGAUCGGCCACACUGGGACUGAGACACGGCCCAGACUCCUACGGGAGGCAGCAGUAGGGAAUCUUCGGCAAUGGACGGAAGUCUGACCGAGCAACGCCGCGUGAGUGAAGAAGGUUUUCGGAUCGUAAAGCUCUGUUGUAAGAGAAGAACGAGUGUGAGAGUGGAAAGUUCACACUGUGACGGUAUCUUACCAGAAAGGGACGGCUAACUACGUGCCAGCCGCCGCAGUAA
RNAcentral lists this ribosomal RNA (511 nucleotides) under uncultured bacterium. Its description in RNAcentral is "partial 16S ribosomal RNA". It matches the Rfam family "Bacterial small subunit ribosomal RNA", at positions 28 to 523 of the family's 1533-position model. The record is from RNAcentral.